This 73-nucleotide transfer RNA is filed under the name Flavonifractor plautii. Its description in RNAcentral is "tRNA-Lys". It matches the Rfam family "tRNA". Rfam says of the family: Transfer RNA (tRNA) molecules are approximately 80 nucleotides in length. The record is from RNAcentral. Lineage: Bacteria; Bacillati; Bacillota; Clostridia; Eubacteriales; Oscillospiraceae. RNAcentral also lists the same sequence under 6 other names.
GACUCGUUAGCUCAGUCGGCAGAGCAACUGCCUUUUAAGCAGUGGGUCCGGGGUUCGAAUCCCCGACGGGUCA